UGGGGAUUGGUCUAGUGGUAGGACAGCGGACUCUGGAUCCGUUGGCCCAGGUUCGAAUCCUGGAUCCCCAG
RNAcentral lists this transfer RNA (71 nucleotides) under Dehalococcoidia bacterium. RNAcentral's name for it is "tRNA-Gln". It matches the Rfam family "tRNA". From Rfam's summary of the family: Transfer RNA (tRNA) molecules are approximately 80 nucleotides in length. Their secondary structure includes four short double-helical elements and three loops (D, anti-codon, and T loops). Lineage: Bacteria; Bacillati; Chloroflexota; Dehalococcoidia. The record is from RNAcentral.